This 253-nucleotide ribosomal RNA is filed under the name uncultured bacterium. RNAcentral describes it as "partial 16S ribosomal RNA". It matches the Rfam family "Bacterial small subunit ribosomal RNA", at positions 524 to 776 of the family's 1533-position model. The record is from RNAcentral.
UACGGGGGGGGCAAGCGUUGUUCGGAAUUACUGGGCGUAAAGCGCGUGUAGGCGGUCCAAUAAGUCGGUCGUGAAAUCCCUUGGCUUAACCAAGGAACUGCGUUCGAAACUACUGGACUCGAGUAUCGGAGGGGAUGGCGGAAUUCCCGGUGUAGAGGUGAAAUUCGUAGAUAUCAGGAGGAACACCGGUGGCGAAGGCGGGUCUCUGGGCAGUAACUGACGCUGAGGAGCGAAAGCGUGGGGAGCGAACAGG